Brachypodium distachyon (stiff brome) is the source of this 137-nucleotide non-coding RNA. Lineage: Eukaryota; Viridiplantae; Streptophyta; Magnoliopsida; Poales; Poaceae. The record is from Rfam.
UACUUCCUUUCCUCCGUCCAACAAAAUAUGACUCAAUUUUGACUAAAUUUGAAUGCAUUUAUACACUAAAUCAUGUGUAGAUACAUCCAAAUUUUGACAAAUUUAAAUCAUCUUUUGUUGGACAGAGGAAGUAUAAA